AAUCAACGCUGGCGGCGUGCCUAACACAUGCAAGUCGAACGCGAAAGCCCCUUCGGGGGCAAGUAGAGUGGCGUCCGGGUGAGUAACACGUGGGUAAUCUACCUCCGGGUGGGGAAUAACUCGCCGAAAGGCGGGCUAAUACCGCAUAAUGCAGCGGCACCGAAUGGUGAUUAGUUGUUAAAGCGGGGGACCUUAGGGCCUCGCGUCUGGAGAGGAGCCUGCGGCAGAUUAGCUUGUUGGUAGGGAAUGGCCUACCAAGGCUGCGAUCUGUAGCUGGUCUGAGAGGACGGCCAGCCACACUGGCACUGACACACGGGCCAGACUCCUACGGGAGGCAGCAGUGGGGAAUUUUGGGCAAUGGGCGAAAGCCUGACCCAGCAACGCCGCGUGAAGGAGGAAAU
RNAcentral lists this ribosomal RNA (401 nucleotides) under uncultured bacterium. RNAcentral's name for it is "bacterial SSU rRNA". It matches the Rfam family "Bacterial small subunit ribosomal RNA", at positions 32 to 414 of the family's 1533-position model. The record is from RNAcentral.